UACGUAGGUGGCAAGCGUUAUCCGGAUUUACUGGGUGUAAAGGGAGCGUAGACGGCUUUGCAAGCCAGAUGUGAAAGCCCGGGGCUCAACCCCGGGACUGCAUUUGGAACUGUAUGGCUGGAGUGUCGGAGAGGCAGGCGGAAUUCCUAGUGUAGCGGUGAAAUGCGUAGAUAUUAGGAGGAACACCAGUGGCGAAGGCGGCCUGCUGGACGAUGACUGACGUUGAGGCUCGAAAGCGUGGGGAGCAAACAGG
This 253-nucleotide ribosomal RNA is filed under the name uncultured bacterium. Its description in RNAcentral is "partial 16S ribosomal RNA". It matches the Rfam family "Bacterial small subunit ribosomal RNA", at positions 524 to 776 of the family's 1533-position model. The record is from RNAcentral.